UGAUAUUCCUUUCUUUUCUUUUUCAGCUCUAUGAAAAUGAAGAAGACAAACUGAAAGUUUUGCUCUGCAAAAAUUAAUAGGGACCUCUGGCUCUUGAGGGGACAAAAUUGUGGAUGAGUCCUCUCAUGUGGCAAUGCAUUAAGAGCAACAAAAAAGUUAAACUUCAGACAUCAGCCUGCACCACAGGACUGUUCUCAGCCACCCUGGUUUGCUGCAUCGCUUGCACAGUGGCACUUUUCAACACCCAGGAGAGCUCAAUACUCCUGCUAUGAAGAAUGUGGACG
RNAcentral lists this long non-coding RNA (284 nucleotides) under Gallus gallus (chicken). RNAcentral's name for it is "long non-coding RNA NONGGAT001403". Lineage: Eukaryota; Metazoa; Chordata; Aves; Galliformes; Phasianidae. The record is from RNAcentral.